Long non-coding RNA from Rosa chinensis, 2297 nucleotides. RefSeq lists it as uncharacterized. The record is from RefSeq and is a predicted model, not a curated record. The transcript is spliced from 8 exons. Lineage: Eukaryota; Viridiplantae; Streptophyta; Magnoliopsida; Rosales; Rosaceae.
ACUAAAGGUGGGUUACUGUUCCUAAGCUGUAGGUUAUGAACAAUGAAGGCUUGGUAACAGUAGCAGCUUGAGCCUAGCCGAUGAACGAAAUAACCGUUUUGUCCUUUGAAAAAAAUAAUUUACAUCCUUGCCAUUCGACACACGUCGCACCGAGUGGUGUUGGAACUGUUGAUUUAUUGCUGCGUGUUUGCUCUGGAGAAGGACAAGUACUCCUUUGAUCUGCGUGAAGAGAGAAAGAGAAAGAGGACGAAAGGGAUAUGCUGAUCCUUUUGUUUCUUUUCUCUGGGCAAGUCGAGACAGAUAGAGAGAGCGUGCUGAACUUCGUAGACUCCAAGUGGAGAUUGUUUGGUGAUGACAUUGGCUUGAAGAAUUUUGGGGAUUUGGCGGAAUGGGUUUAGCCCCUCAUUGUUUCUUUAAUACAACGGUGCCAUUCGACUCAGGGAGAUAGAGGUCUUCUGCGAGAGACAUGCACAGAAAGAAGAAGAGGGAAAUUCACAUCCCGAGACUGAUCGGAGAGAGAAGGAGAAGCAUCUUUUUGAUAGUACAAAUAUAAGAAGAGGGAGACGGCAAGGAAAGCAUGAAUAGGUGAGAUUGAGGAAAAGAGAGGAGACAAUUUCUGGGUUCUGCCGACACAGGGCAAAAGAGAUGAGACUAGGAAAAAAAAAAAAAAGAGAGAAGAGAUUUUGGGGUUGCUGAUAGGGGUUUCUGAUUCGAUAGAGAGGAUGAGCAAGGAGACGGGAAGAGCAUCAAUCUGGGUAUUUGAUUUUUGGUUUUUGUUUUUUUUCUUCUGAUUUCUCAUGCAUUGGUUUGUUGUCUUUGUUGUAGUUGGGUUUUGAUGAGGAAGCAGAACAUGAAUUUGGUGGUUUGACGCUGUUCUGCAUCUGCCUGGGAAGAGUACUGCUGUCGUCUUUGAGUUUUGGAUAAUAGGAUUUCGAAUAGAGACAAGCAGAGAGGAUAUUUAGUUUUUGGGGCACUGUUCCUAAGCAUUGUUGAAGUGGCGGCUCCAGCCGAGCCGGUCAUGGAUGAAAAGCCGAUUUUGUCCUUGCUUCAUCUCUGUUGCCCGACACCUGUCUACCGUCUCAAAACUCCCGCGUCUUUCUUCUCGACACCUGGUCUGCUGCUCAGCCCUUUCGUGUCUUCGCUACUUCGCUGCACAGACAGGUGGAGAAAGAGAGAGAGAUAGCGAAGGAGGUGGUACUGUUUGUUGGCAUCUACAAUUCGAAUUCGAUCUUCCCUGUGUAAAUCUGGAAGUCUCUUUCUACACGGAGAGAGGUGUCUAUCUACAGUAAUAUUUGCUGAGCCAGAUUAUCGGGUUUACUGAUCGAUCAAAGCUGGAUAGAGUUUGGGUUCUUCUUGAUAACGUUCAGUCUUCCAGAUUAUCAGAAAAAGAGAGGGAGAAGAGGACGGGGGAAAAAGGAAAAGAAGUAGAAGAGAGAGACCAGAAACUUUAGCUUGCUUGCUUGAGAGAAAACAAGUGGAAAGUAUUUUUUUAAUCUUAAAUUUUCUGAUUGAAAUUGUUUCUGGGUUUGAUUGUAGUGUGUUUCAAACAAGGAAAAGUAAAGUUUUUGUAGUUUGUUUGCUUUUGAUUGUUCACUUUUGAUCUGUGAAUUUGGGUUUGAUUUAUUGUUUUCUGAUCAGCAUCUUUUGUCAUUUCGAUUUUGUGAUUGCAUUUUGAUGUAAUUUUUGUUGCAUCUUUUAGAUAAGUUUCUUUAUGAUCAGUUCUUUAUAGUUUGAAAAAGAGUGAGAGGAUUUCUGAGUAUUUGAUUUCUCUGAAUGAAUUUUGGUUUAUGGUGUUUAAUUGAACUGAUUUGCAGAAAGUGCUGGAUUAUUCAGUUUUGUUUUGCUGGUCAGGAAGCUGGAUAAGCAACAUGUCCACUACUUUUCCGUUUCUGGAAGCCUCCAUCAACAUCACCCUUUUCUCUUGCCGACAUCAGGAUUACCCAUCAACAUCAGCACUGAUCAAAACUUGCACAGAGCAUUACAUGUUCAUGGUCUUGGCUGGGUGGAUCUAUAAUUAUACGUCAUCAAAGAAGAGAAAGUGACCCCUUGAUAUAUGCUGGUCCAAUUUAAAGUUACGAGGUUGUCUUUUUGAAGCGGUUUUCUUCUGCCAUACCUUUGAUCACUGGUUAUUUUUGUUUAUGAGAGGAUACGUGCUUAUCAUCCACCAAUUGCAAGAGUGGGUUUUUAUUUGCAUUUGAGGAUUUUCAGCAACAUUACUUGCAACCGAUUUGCGGGUGUUCUUCAAAGGUUGAUGAGGCCAUGCACAAUAAGUGACAUGUCUUCUUCGUGGUAAUAGG